GCAAGAUCUCUAGAGAGAAUGGCAGAAAGCUCAUUACAUAACCAUAACAUCCACAAGCUAUGAGACCUUACAGAAAGAUCAUGAGUAACCCUAUUCAGUUCUUCUAGUUUUGGGCUUGCACUUUCUUUAGUUCCAAGCAAAGCAGCUUUGGCUAGUGACGUUUGUCUUCUAGAGUCAAUAGACAUUUGUCUUCCAGGGGAAUUAACAUAUAGAGGAGAAUCGGGAACACCUUUGGACUGGCGCAGUAAUGAAGAAUGCUUAUCAAAAACAGAGGAUGGCG
Molecule: unclassified non-coding RNA, 280 nt
Filed under: Hevea brasiliensis (rubber tree)
Lineage: Eukaryota; Viridiplantae; Streptophyta; Magnoliopsida; Malpighiales; Euphorbiaceae
Source: RNAcentral